GGACGUGAGGGUGAUCUGGCUGGCUGUCCACUUCCUCCCUCACCACUCCAUAUGUGUCCCUCCUAAAGCAUCACGGUGGAAGAGGAAGGCCUUCCCCGAAACAGAGACUGAGGGGCCUUUGGUCAAGGGUAUAUGAGUAGCUGUGCUUCCCUGCUAGAACCUCCAAACAAGCUCUCAAGACUAUGCAGAAGACCAAGAAGAUAGUACAGAAGUAGCACACCAAACUUUCUUGCCUAACACCCAAAAUGCUCAAAUUU
RNAcentral lists this small nuclear RNA (257 nucleotides) under Erinaceus europaeus (western European hedgehog). RNAcentral's name for it is "7SK RNA". It matches the Rfam family "7SK RNA". Rfam says of the family: 7SK was discovered as an abundant small nuclear RNA in the mid-70s but a possible function has only recently been suggested. Two independent studies have found that 7SK RNA binds the CDK9/cyclin T complex (known as elongation factor P-TEFb). Lineage: Eukaryota; Metazoa; Chordata; Mammalia; Eulipotyphla; Erinaceidae. The record is from Rfam by way of RNAcentral.